Molecule: ribosomal RNA, 492 nt
Filed under: uncultured bacterium
Lineage: Bacteria
Description: partial 16S ribosomal RNA
Rfam family: Bacterial small subunit ribosomal RNA
Source: RNAcentral
AGUGAACGCUGGCGGUAGGCCUAACACAUGCAAGUCGAACGGCAGCACAGUAAGAGUUUUCUCUUACGGGUGGCGAGUGGCGGACGGGUGAGGAAUACAUCGGAAUCUACUUUUUCGUGGGGGAUAACGUAGGGAAACUUACGCUAAUACCGCAUACGACCUACGGGUGAAAGCAGGGGAUCUUCGGACCUUGCGCGAUUGAAUGAGCCGAUGUCGGAUUAGCUAGUUGGCGGGGUAAAGGCCCACCAAGGCGACGAUCCGUAGCUGGUCUGAGAGGAUGAUCAGCCACACUGGAACUGAGACACGGUCCAGACUCCUACGGGAGGCAGCAGUGGGGAAUAUUGGACAAUGGGCGCAAGCCUGAUCGAGCAAUACCGCGUGGGUGAAGAAGGCCUUCGGGUUGUAAAGCCCUUUUGUUGGGAAAGAAAAGCAGCAGGUUAAUACCCCGAUGUUCUGACGGUACCCAAAGAAUAAGCACCGGCUAACUUCGUG